RNAcentral lists this ribosomal RNA (445 nucleotides) under uncultured bacterium. RNAcentral's name for it is "partial 16S ribosomal RNA". It matches the Rfam family "Bacterial small subunit ribosomal RNA", at positions 354 to 796 of the family's 1533-position model. The record is from RNAcentral.
GUGAGGAAUAUUGGUCAAUGGGCGGGAGCCUGAACCAGCCAAGUCGCGUGAAGGAAGAAGGAUCUAUGGUUCGUAAACUUCUUUUGCAGGGGAAUAAAGUGCAGGACGUGUCCUGUUUUGUAUGUACCCUGAGAAUAAGGAUCGGCUAACUCCGUGCCAGCAGCCGCGGUAAUACGGAGGAUCCGAGCGUUAUCCGGAUUUAUUGGGUUUAAAGGGUGCGUAGGUGGUUUGAUAAGUCAGCGGUGAAAGUUUGCAGCUUAACUGUAAAAAUGCCGUUGAAACUGUCGGACUUGAGUGUAAAGGAGGUAGGCGGAAUGCGUGGUGUAGCGGUGAAAUGCAUAGAUAUCACGCAGAACUCCGAUUGCGAAGGCAGCUUACUAAGCUACAACUGACACUGAAGCACGAAAGCGUGGGGAUCAAACAGGAUUAGAAACCCCUGUAGUCC